UACUCCCCAAAAUGGCAAAACAUGUCAAAACCCCACCAAAUCUGUCGCAAUUCAUCGAAUUCGUGCCCUUCCUCUCCCCAAUCUCGACUCCACAUUCCAGCGGAGAGAAUGGAUGAAUGAUCUGAAUGAAGAUUGCUUGUGAUCUCCAGUCCUCUAUCAGAAAUCUCCAAACUGGAUCAUGUAUUCAUGGUUGAAUUUCUCUCACCACUGGGCAGUUGAUAUCACAGCCAUUUUCAAUUGGUGAUACCACAAAAGGCUUUACAUAGGAUGAUUCAUUUUAUGCUUCUUGGAGUCCUGAAUUUCAAAAAAAGCAGAGCAGGAUAUCCUUGUUGAGGCUGUCAACAUCAUCAAACGCUCUCAGUUGAUGUGCUUUUGCUUUGAGGUUAGCUUGAUUUUAAUUUGUGUCAUGAUUAAUAUACUAGAUACAGCUAUGCAAAUUAUGUAGUGAAACUUGCUGGAUUUUGAAUUCUCAUCUUUGUCUAAAACUAAGUUGCCACCUUCUUGAAUUUUCCAGUGUUAUUCCAUUAUCUUUUUUGACAUACCUUUUGGGAGUUCAA
This is a long non-coding RNA of Salvia miltiorrhiza (redroot sage), 557 nucleotides long. RefSeq lists it as uncharacterized. Lineage: Eukaryota; Viridiplantae; Streptophyta; Magnoliopsida; Lamiales; Lamiaceae. The record is from RefSeq and is a predicted model, not a curated record. The transcript has 2 exons.